AUAUUGCAGUACGUAAUAUUUGAAGAAUUUAGGAACUUACGGAUUGGGAAUCCGACGUAUGGAUCUUCCCGAAUUGGAUUUGUAAGUUCAUAAAAUAAAAUGUUAACCGCUAAUCAGUUUUGGAAAUUGGCGAAGAUCCAACCGUUGAAUCGUAAUAAAACUUAAGUAUGUUGUUCUAGAAGUAUAUUUUAUAUCAUGAGAAGUUACGGAUUGGAAAUUUGAGAUGCAGAUCUUCCGGAUCGAGUUUUGCAGGGUUGUUGACCCAACCAUCGAUCUUCGAUCGAUGGUUGACUUUUGGUCAAUGGGUCUCAAAUUAUUCUAGAAGGUCCUUAAGGAUAUGUUUUAUGUAAAUUAUAUAUUCUAUCAGUAAGAACUUGAGACAUGAUUUGAUAAUUGGUCACAGGCAACGAUAGUUCGUGAUGUCUCCAUAUUCGUGCGAGGGAGUUGUAGCGCAGACCUAAGGUGAGUAGGUUUUUUCCCUACUAUUAUAUAUAUA
Molecule: long non-coding RNA, 496 nt
Filed under: Malus domestica (apple)
Lineage: Eukaryota; Viridiplantae; Streptophyta; Magnoliopsida; Rosales; Rosaceae
Description: long non-coding RNA (MDOM_LNC002960)
Source: RNAcentral